UCCACAAGUUUUUGAGAACCAAUUUUCCCUUGAGAUGCGAUUGGAGUUAACUGGAUAUAAAAUCUGCUUUCCUAACCCACACUUGUUUUACAAAUGGUGCAAUGUGUUUGUGGGUGUACUUCUCACGCCUUUGAUCUUUAUAAAAGUAAAAACACUCA
Long non-coding RNA from Ipomoea nil (Japanese morning glory), 158 nucleotides. RefSeq lists it as uncharacterized. The transcript is spliced from 3 exons. The record is from RefSeq and is a predicted model, not a curated record. Lineage: Eukaryota; Viridiplantae; Streptophyta; Magnoliopsida; Solanales; Convolvulaceae.